AGUAGCCGUAUCGGAAGGUGCGGCUGGAUCACCUCCUUUCUCGAGCUAAUACCGCAAAAAUUGAGCGUUCACGCUUAUCGGCUGUAAAUCAAGACAGACUCAGGGGUCUGUAGCUCAGUCGGUUAGAGCACCGUCUUGAUAAGGCGGGGGUCGUUGGUUCGAAUCCAACCAGACCCACCAAUUGUCUGGCGGUAGAAACCUGAGAGGUCUCUGUAUGGGGGCAUAGCUCAGCUGGGAGAGCACCUGCUUUGCAAGCAGGGGGUCGUCGGUUCGAUCCCGUCUGCCUCCACCAAUCUUCAAUGACAAAUGUUCGAGUCAGUUGACUCGAGUCUUUGUCAUUGGCGAUUGAGCCAGUCAGAGUGAUGAGUACACAAGUGUGCUUAUCGGCUGUCGUUCUUUAACAAUCUAGAAGAAGUAGUAAUUUGGAUAGCGGAAGCGUCUAUUUGAGAUGGGCGUGAAAACUAUCCGGGUUGUGAUUGUAUCGAUGUAUCUCAAGAUGAUUCGAACUUAACGUUCGGCUCAAUUGGAAUACGGCACAAAUGCGAGAACUCAACCUGUAGCGGCCUGUCGAGCGAAAGCGAGACAGACUCGUUAUAGGGUCAAGCGAACAAGUGCAUGUGGUG
Molecule: transfer RNA, 623 nt
Filed under: Burkholderia gladioli pv. alliicola
Lineage: Bacteria; Pseudomonadati; Pseudomonadota; Betaproteobacteria; Burkholderiales; Burkholderiaceae
Description: partial contains 16S ribosomal RNA, 16S-23S ribosomal RNA intergenic spacer, and 23S ribosomal RNA; also has tRNA-Ile and tRNA-Ala
Rfam family: tRNA (bases 104-177)
Source: RNAcentral